This is a long non-coding RNA of Triticum dicoccoides, 4809 nucleotides long. RefSeq lists it as uncharacterized. The transcript has 7 exons. NCBI's taxonomy places the organism in Eukaryota, Viridiplantae, Streptophyta, Magnoliopsida, Poales, Poaceae. The record is from RefSeq and is a predicted model, not a curated record.
UUAUUGAGAUGCUGUCACGCGCACUGUUCACGAUCAUGGUCCAAGCUUUGAUGCGAUUCCGCGUAUUUGAGAUUUGAUUAAUUUAUUAAUUAUAAGCAUGGAAGUGAUGCAAGUACGUACGUUAGUACUGUGUCGUAGUGUGUUUGCUCAACUUCCUCAAGUGUUCGUCGUGUAGGAGUAGGAGUACGUCUUUGGUAAGCAACAGGACACAAAUAUGGUAAUACCAUCGUCCAGAGUUAUGAACAGUGGUUCAGACAUGAUGCAUCGUGGCAAGCUAACCACUCAUACCCAUGCCCCAAUACUCAUAAUACGUGCCCAUCUCACCAUCACAACGGAUAAGAUCCCUACUUGCUCUUAAUUAAUCCUGACACCGACAACAACAAACCCUCCCAUCCGAAUAGUUGAACCUGAUCACGGCACCAAUGGAACGGAAUUGCACGGACGACUGUGACUGAAUCUCAUCCCGCACACGAGCUCAUCUAUAGAGAAUGAAGGAAGGGACAUCGCAUUCCAGAACAAGAUCCGCCAUCCCGUCUCAAGAGAACAUCCAAAACAUUAACGUGCGCAUCAAUGGCGCCUCCUCGCGCGUUCGCAUGUACGACAAAAAAAUACAUCCAUCAAGCUCCCAUCGCUCGUCCCCGUCUUUAAUGUGUCGAAGUAAAAAAAAAUUAGCGAUGGAUCCCUUCCUUCCCUUGGAAGGUAGCCUCUACUUUUCUUUUGGCCCACAUCGUCACAUCAGCUCUCGCACGCAACCUCCAAAGCCUCCGCCGCCGCCGCCGCCGCCGCCUCAGCCAUUUCUCUCGUCUUCUCCUCCCUGUUCCCCUGCCCUAGCCUAUCUCUAGCACUCCGCCUCUCCCUUUCUUCCUCGAGUACGGCAGCGGAAGGGGGGCCGCGACGGGAGAGAGGUUCUCCGCCCCCGACAGACGACGUCACCGCCUCCGACCUUGGCCUCGUCUGCAGCAGCAGGGACCUCUGCCCGUGUGUCUCUGUCUCGCUGCUCAUCCUCCGGGAGGGGACUCGGAAGGAGGGUCAUGCUCCUGGUUGGGAUCUCCGUGCUCCCGCUCCUGCACCUCCAUCUGCGUUCGAUCUCGUCACUGGUGAGUAGUGCUCUGCUCAGCGUGGGGAUGACCUAUGAGAUUCUUAGUUUGAAAUCUGAUGUGAAUCUCCUAAAAACCGAUGCAAAUCUGUCUUGAGAACAUAACCUUCGAAUCACGGAUCCUUGGAGAUUUUCUGAAGCUUUAGUCCCAAGCCAGGAAAUGGCUAGCUGGCUAUGUUAAUCAUCGCUCUGAGGAAAUCAAAAUCUUCUGUGGGAAUGGCCACUCUGAAUGUUCUGAACCAUCCCUUGAUGUUGUCUCUAGGUCCGUCCAGGCCCUGCCGUCCACUUGCCGACUUCUUCUUGGCGCAAUGGGUGGGGUACGUUGGUCUGUGUUGGUCUCCAGUUUUGGUCUUGUUGUAGAGGUCUUCGACUGCGGUUGUGAAGCGGUUCGGUUGCUCUGUGGCUUGCCCCAUCGCCAUCGGCAUGACGUUGGCCUAGGUGAAGCAAGUAUUUUAGUACGCGUGGUGGGUGUGUUUGCUAAUUCCUGUGAUUGGCAUUGUAAUAGCUGAAAGGCGUUGUAUCCGGCUUCUUUGCCGCUUAUUCUUUAAUAUAUGAUACAUAUGCUCAUGCGUAUUCAAGAAAAAUGUUCUGAACCAUCCCUACCCAUAUAAAGAAAUUGUGGGAGCGGGACGGCGGGAUCUGCUCCGGCCGGUGCGGGACGCGCUACUGUCGCUCAUGCAGCAGAACGGCGUCGACCUGAUCUUCUGGAGGGCAGAGUCGAACCAGAACAUGUAUCAAGGGACCAUGACAUAUCUAGCAUCGGUAUCUGAAGAUGGCAAGAUCUGGUCAUGGCAUCUGACUUUUGACAAGUCAGUAUCUUCCAAGAAAAUUAAUCCUGCUCGGCCUCUUCGCGUGGUUCGUUGAGUGAUGGGUCGUGCCAUUGUCUAACUGGGUGCCCCUCGCGGCCGCCGUCUGGGCGAUGAUUCAGUAUGGGGUUGUAGAAGAUUUGAACAAAAGAUGGAAGCACCUUAUACUGAACACAACAGUACAGUAUGUGCUGUUCCCUUGCUCUAUUUACAUUAUUGUUUGUUUAUGGAGAUAGUCAUGCUCAUUUUACCUCUAUUGUACCUUACAACUCCAAUAGAGCCUUGGGAGGGGUUGAACAAACUUUUGAUUGAAGUUUGGCCCAACUACAUGGAACCGAAACUAUCAAGGAAGUUUCGUGCUUGGAUGCAACUCAGUAGUUGGUAGUUCAAAAGGUUUCACAAAUAACAUUAGAUUAUACUAUAUGCAUCUGAUCCAUGGAAGUUGAUUAUGUAGAAUCAAAUCAUUUCAAAAUUCCUUUUGAUUCUGUUGAUUUGAGGUAGACGGUACACCUGCUGCAGUGGACUUCGUCGUCUCAUCAGCAUGCUCGCCCGCGACAGUACACCUGCUGCAGCUCCGUAAGCCCCACUAAUCACUAGGUCUCAUUACUCUUUCUGUCCGACGUGGCAUGCGAGAGCGAAGGAUAGAGGUUGCCACGAAAUACCCAACAAAUGCACUUGUCGAUCGUCUUGCUCUUAUUAGGUAGUCGUUUCAGUGAAAGUAUAUCCGCCGCCUGUUCAUUUUUCAAUUCACUUUCAAUAGACAGUUUGCAUUAUCUGUUUUUUCCUGGGAGUUGAAGCAAAGAAUUUGUUAUGUUUCCUUAUGCUGUGAAUCUGAAGUAUUUCUUGCUAACUAAGAACCCUGCACAGCUUGAUACUGCACUGUCGGCCCUGAAUCCUUGGAUAUUGGGAAGUUUGAAGAAGCAUGUGGUGUAGAUGAUGCCCAUCGACGCUGCUACCUCCGGAAGGUCACGGAUGAGGCUACCCGAGCUGGACAACGGGGCGUUUUUGGAUGUGGAGGAGGUCCGACCAGAGGAGCGGCAUGUACUUCCCUUGGUUUGAAUACUAUGGUCAGAUUUUUUUCCCGAGAAUCCACAAGUUGUGCUGGUCUUGAAGAAUGUAUUAAGUUCAUUGCAAACUUAAAGUUCAGAGAUGAUAUGCAAGGGCGCCGCCUCUCCCUCACCGUCCAUCGUCACUAGACACGACGUCGUGAGCAGCACUUGCUAUAUAUAUAUAUAUAUAUAUGAACUAUCUAUCAUCUUUAGCUAAUCUCUAGACACAUCGUCAUCAGCAGCACCUGCUAUCUAUAUAUAUGAACCCUACUUUUCUUUUGAAGAUCGUUUUUCUUUUAGAGCAUGUUAGCCUUUGAUUUCAAUUCAAUGUUGUCCUCUAUCAUCCACCAUGUAAGAUUGUGACCUAUCUUAUAAUAUGCACCUAUUACCUUGCUAUGUCUCUUGAAUGAACAUUUUUCUCUAAGUUUUUGUUAACUGUACCCUGGCCUGCAUAUGCACGUGCACAGCUGCACAGCCAAGGCAAGUGCGCACAAGAACGCACAGGAGGCGCGCCCAGGGCGCGCCCCACCUACUAGUCAUGUUAAAGCUGUCACCGCAACGCAACAACCGCGCAGACCUAUCGCGAUGCGACCGAAUAGGUUUCGGUUCAGAACGCCGGAAGAUCUGGGCGUUCCCAUGCAAGUUGCUCCUCAAGGACUUCACCCGGAAACGCAAUAGUUUAGCAGUGCCGUGUCGCGGCCAGAGGCCAAAUCAUAUGCCUUCCGAGGGUUGUGUACAGACAUCCUUUUCCCUGGCAUUUCUUAAGCUGAAAUGACAGCUCCAUAUGUAGGUCUACUGAGGGGCAUCUAACUAGUUACUAAGCUCCCAGGAAAUCCUUGCUGUGUGGCAAUGUAAAUAUUCUACUACCUGCUUAAUCAAUAAAACGCUGGUAAGUCGCCGGAACUUUCAGAAAAAAAAACUGGGUUGUGAUGGUCGUCAGCCAGUUGUUGGAUGGUUUUCUUGAUGUGCCCCAUGGUGGCGAUGUUGGGGCUGAGGGGCAGGUCGAUGAGCCUGGUUCUUCUGGUCAUGGUGGCAGUACUGAGGUUCAGGUGGUUGCGCCUGCUCCUGCCGUUCAUGGUGACGAUGGUGAGCCAUGUGUGGAUGUGCAUGGUCUUUAUAGCUUCCGAGCUCCCUACAAAGGAAGUUCUCUGGUUGAGCGUGGUUGUGUGCUAAUAUGACAAAUUCUAUUCACCAAUAAAGGUACUAAUCAAAGUUUUGGAUGAAUGGUACUUGAAUAUCCUUUGUGUGACAUUGUCUUUUGGGGAUAAGGGACUAUUGUAGUAUGUAUUAAAAGCGACAACCUUUGAAGAGGAUACUGAUUUCUUCGCUAUUUUUUUCUUGAAUUUUAGUUUUGCUAGCUUAGCUUGUUUCUACGGGCCUCUUCUUUUCCUUACCUGUCCUAGCAUUUCAUUUCCUCCAGGAGAUGAUGGAGAGGAUCAGUAGAAGGAUGAAGAUGGUGUAGGCCAUGGAGGCAUGAACCCACGUUGUGGCAAGGACUUGCUGAUCUAGAAAGGAGAGCGAUCAAGAAGAGAGCAUUCAUAAUUACGGAAGAACCUUGUGGUUUGCCAAAAGACUUGAAGAGAUAAAAGUAUCAGGUCUGGUUUUGUCACAAAAAAGGAAUCUGAAGUCCUCUUUCAUGCUUUCAAAGGUGUAUGUAGUACAAAGAUAGAGCAUAAUUGAUUGAAACACCAUGGAUGUCCUUUUUUUUACUUUCUUUUCCUUUCUUUUGAGAUAGAUGUUGUUUUAUUUCCCUUCCCGUAAUGUAUGUAUAGAUGCUGGUAUUUCGUUGUGAACUGAAGAAGCGUCUAAGGGUUAUAUCCUCUAAUCUCUCCGUACCACAAUAUAAAAUCAUUUUUCA